This 402-nucleotide ribosomal RNA is filed under the name uncultured Sphingomonas sp. Its description in RNAcentral is "bacterial SSU rRNA". It matches the Rfam family "Bacterial small subunit ribosomal RNA", at positions 355 to 774 of the family's 1533-position model. Lineage: Bacteria; Pseudomonadati; Pseudomonadota; Alphaproteobacteria; Sphingomonadales; Sphingomonadaceae. The record is from RNAcentral.
UGGGGAAUAUUGGACAAUGGGCGAAAGCCUGAUCCAGCAAUGCCGCGUGAGUGAUGAAGGCCUUAGGGUUGUAAAGCUCUUUUACCCGGGAAGAUAAUGACUGUACCGGGAGAAUAAGCCCCGGCUAACUCCGUGCCAGCAGCCGCGGUAAUACGGAGGGGGCUAGCGUUGUUCGGAAUUACUGGGCGUAAAGCGCGCGUAGGCGGCUUUGUAAGUUAGAGGUGAAAGCCCGGGGCUCAACCCCGGAACUGCCUUUAAGACUGCAUCGCUUGAAUCCGGGAGAGGUGAGUGGAAUUCCGAGUGUAGAGGUGAAAUUCGUAGAUAUUCGGAAGAACACCAGUGGCGAAGGCGGCUCACUGGACCGGCAUUGACGCUGAGGUGCGAAAGCGUGGGGAGCAAACA